UCUGAAUAAGUCUCAGCAGCAGCGAAGUUGCGGACCCUACCACAAAAUCGGGGGAGGAGUGGAUUCUAAACAAACAAAAAAAAAAAGAUGCAUUACCAGAAAAAGGAUUGCAGCGCAAUAAGCAAGAAUGGCCUUUGACUCAAGCUUAGAUGAAGAUACCCUGCACAGGACAUUGAGGGCUUUGUGAUGGCAACAGGAAAAGCCCGAG
Molecule: long non-coding RNA, 208 nt
Filed under: Sus scrofa (pig)
Lineage: Eukaryota; Metazoa; Chordata; Mammalia; Artiodactyla; Suidae
Description: lncRNA (ENSSSCG00070023734.1)
Source: RNAcentral